GUGGUUGUGGCUCAGUGGUAGAACGCUUAUCUUGCACAUGGGGGAACCUGGGUUCGAUCCUCAGCACCACA
This 71-nucleotide transfer RNA is filed under the name Marmota monax (woodchuck). It matches the Rfam family "tRNA". Rfam says of the family: Transfer RNA (tRNA) molecules are approximately 80 nucleotides in length. Their secondary structure includes four short double-helical elements and three loops (D, anti-codon, and T loops). Further hydrogen bonds mediate the characteristic L-shaped molecular structure. tRNAs have two regions of fundamental functional importance: the anti-codon, which is responsible for specific mRNA codon recognition, and the 3' end, to which the tRNAs corresponding amino acid is attached (by aminoacyl-tRNA synthetases). tRNAs cope with the degeneracy of the genetic code in two manners: having more than one tRNA (with a specific anti-codon) for a particular amino acid; and 'wobble' base-pairing, i.e. permitting non-standard base-pairing at the 3rd anti-codon position. The record is from Rfam by way of RNAcentral. Lineage: Eukaryota; Metazoa; Chordata; Mammalia; Rodentia; Sciuridae.